AGAUUGAACGCUGGCGGCAUGCCUUACACAUGCAAGUCGAACGGCAGCACGGGAGCAAUCCUGGUGGCGAGUGGCGAACGGGUGAGUAAUACAUCGGAACGUGCCCAAUCGUGGGGGAUAACGCAGCGAAAGCUGUGCUAAUACCGCAUAAGAUCUACGGAUGAAAGCAGGGGAUCGCAAGACCUUGCGCGAAUGGAGCGGCCGAUGGCAGAUUAGGUAGUUGGUGAGGUAAAGGCUCACCAAGCCUUCGAUCUGUAGCUGGUCUGAGAGGACGACCAGCCACACUGGGACUGAGACACGGCCCAGACUCCUACGGGAGGCAGCAGUGGGGAAUUUGGACAAUGGGCGAAAGCCUGAUCCAGCCAU
RNAcentral lists this ribosomal RNA (366 nucleotides) under uncultured soil bacterium. Its description in RNAcentral is "bacterial SSU rRNA". It matches the Rfam family "Bacterial small subunit ribosomal RNA", at positions 26 to 395 of the family's 1533-position model. The record is from RNAcentral.